UACGGGGGGGGCAAGCGUUGUUCGGAAUUACUGGGCGUAAAGGGCUCGUAGGCGGCCCUCUCAGUCGGAUGUGAAAUCCCCAGGCUUAACCUGGGAACGGCAUCCGAUACUGGAGGGCUUGAAUUCGGGAGAGGGAUGCAGAAUUCCAGGUGUAGCGGUGAAAUGCGUAGAUAUCUGGAGGAAUACCGGUGGCGAAGGCGGCAUCCUGGACCGACAUUGACGCUGAGGAGCGAAAGCUAGGGGAGCAAACGGG
Molecule: ribosomal RNA, 253 nt
Filed under: uncultured bacterium
Lineage: Bacteria
Description: partial 16S ribosomal RNA
Rfam family: Bacterial small subunit ribosomal RNA
Source: RNAcentral